UGUACACGCCAACUCGAACUCAAUUUCUCCGAGCGGUAACUGACAAUCGCGGCGGUAUUUCAGAUCUACGCGGCGGAGGUGGUGAGUUCUGGUGAUGUAAUGGAGGGUUUGGUGAUAUAUGUAUACAAAUUGUUCAAUUGGUUAGUUCAAUCACUUGAAAACGGAAAUCGAAGCCAAAGAUAAUGUGGGUUUGUUAGACUUUUACCAAAAAUCACUUGAAAACGGUCGGAGUUGGUGAUGGUGGUGGUUGGUGGAGGAGAUGGCGGUGGUAGAGAGUGAAGAGAGAAGGGAAAAGGAGGGGGUAGUCAUACGGUGGGUUUGGGAUUUUAUAUAAAAACUGUUUUUAUUUGUAUUUUUAAUCAAAUUUAAAAAUAUAGUGCCACGUAAGCAAGAUUCGCCAUGUCAUCCUGUCCACGUAAUCAAGUCUGUGCCACGUAGGAUCAAAAACAAACUCAGUUAGUAAAAAUUUAACUGAGUGGUGUCAACACAAACUAAAAGUCAAGUUGGGGGUGCCGGGUGUCAAAGUGUUAGUUAGGGGUGGCAACGGUCAAAGGCCGAUAGUUGAAGGUUAUAAAAUCCAAUAACCCUUUCUUUAAUUUUAAACUAAUUAAAAUUCAGAUUCAAAAAAAUCAGUUACUAAGAUUAUGGUAACUGCUCCCUACAAUUAAGUAACUCGAUAUAUUAUUUCCUGAACAAAAUUUAAAAUCUUUAAUCAUCUAAUAUUCAAACUACGAUCGAUGUGGUGUCAAUCAUGUAUAGAAUAUGAUUCGUCAAAGAAAACUAAACGAGAGAGAACAUGAUAAUGCCAAAAUGGUUGAGCAUCAAUAUAAUUUAUUUAUUUUUGAGUCUAAGUGGCAGCAUUCAUUCAUUGCUUCUUAUGAAGGUUGGUUAUUAGAACACCGGUGAUUGAAUCACCGGUUAGAGAAGAUAGAAGCUUUAUCUUUUUUUUUUAUUCCUAUUCCUCUACUUUAUUCCCAUACUAGUUUUAUUAUAUCAUUGAUUUAGAAUUUAGAAUAACAUUCCUAAUUAGUCCACAUGAAUUCUUGAGAGAUAAUGCAAGAGUCUGCAUUUGAUUUGUUGGUUUUUUUUUUUUUUUUUGUCAUAUACGAUUUAUGCCUCCACAUUGAAAAAUUUACGAAGAUCAUCGAUGGGAUGAGAUGGCGCCACCACCGGUGCUCACAUGAUCUCAUUUGAUAUUCAUUGUAAUCAAUUGUAAUUAUUUUCUAUUGCUUCAUUUUAUAUUUAUUAUUAGUG
RNAcentral lists this long non-coding RNA (1254 nucleotides) under Helianthus annuus (common sunflower). RNAcentral's name for it is "hypothetical non coding rna". The record is from RNAcentral. Lineage: Eukaryota; Viridiplantae; Streptophyta; Magnoliopsida; Asterales; Asteraceae.